UACGAGAAGGCAGCUACCUGGCGACAGGAUGCUAAUCCCAAAAACCUCUCUCAGUUCGGAUUGGAGUCUGCAACCCGACUCCAUGAAGCUGGAUUCGCUAGUAAUCGCGCAUCAGCCACGGCGCGGUGAAUACGUUCCCGGGCCUUGUACACACCGCCCGUCAAGCCAUGGAAGCCGGGGGUGCCUGAAGUGCGCUGCCGCAAGGAGCGCCCUAGGGUAAAACCGGUGACUGGGGCUAAGUCGUAACAAGGUAAC
RNAcentral lists this ribosomal RNA (255 nucleotides) under uncultured bacterium. RNAcentral's name for it is "partial 16S ribosomal RNA". It matches the Rfam family "Bacterial small subunit ribosomal RNA", at positions 1238 to 1500 of the family's 1533-position model. The record is from RNAcentral.